AUACGGAGGAUCCGAGCGUUAUCCGGAUUUAUUGGGUUUAAAGGGAGCGUAGGUGGACAGUUAAGUCAGUUGUGAAAGUUUGCGGCUCAACCGUAAAAUUGCAGUUGAUACUGGCUGUCUUGAGUACAGUAGAGGUGGGCGGAAUUCGUGGUGUAGGGGUGAAAUGCUUAGAUAUCACGAAGAACUCCGAUUGCGAAGGCAGCUCACUGGACUGCAACUGACACUGAUGCUCGAAAGUGUGGGUAUCAAACAGGAUUAGAUACCCUGGUAGUCCACACAGUAAACGAUGAAUACUCGCUGUUUGCGAUAUACAGUAAGCGGCCAAGCGAAAGCAUUAAGUAUUCCACCUGGGGAGUACGCCGGCAACGGUGAAACUCAAAUGAAUUGACGGGG
This 393-nucleotide ribosomal RNA is filed under the name uncultured bacterium. RNAcentral's name for it is "partial 16S ribosomal RNA". It matches the Rfam family "Bacterial small subunit ribosomal RNA", at positions 523 to 918 of the family's 1533-position model. The record is from RNAcentral.